CCUACGGGUGGCACCAGUGGGGAAUAUUGCACAAUGGGCGCAAGCCUGAUGCAGCCAUGCCGCGUGCAUGAAGAAGGCCUUCGGGUUGUAAAGUACUUUCAGCGAGGAGGAAGGCAUCAAGGUUAAUAACCUUGGUGAUUGACGUUACUCGCAGAAGAAGCACCGGCUAACUCCGUGCCAGCAGCCGCGGUAAUACGGAGGGUGCAAGCGUUAAUCGGAAUUACUGGGCGUAAAGCGCACGCAGGCGGUCUGUCAAGUCGGAUGUGAAAUCCCCGGGCUCAACCUGGGAACUGCAUUCGAAACUGGCAGGCUAGAGUCUUGUAGAGGGGGGUAGAAUUCCAGGUGUAGCGGUGAGAUGCGUAGAGAUCUGGGGGAAUACCGGUGGCGAAGGCGGCCCCCUGGACAAAGACUGACGCUCAGGUGCGAAAGCGUGGGGAGCAAACAGGAUUAGAUACCCCAGUAGUC
RNAcentral lists this ribosomal RNA (465 nucleotides) under uncultured bacterium. RNAcentral's name for it is "bacterial SSU rRNA". It matches the Rfam family "Bacterial small subunit ribosomal RNA", at positions 338 to 795 of the family's 1533-position model. The record is from RNAcentral.